AUGCAGUCGCCCAUCGACCGCUCUGACCGCCAUGCCACGCAGACGCCCAAUCUCGGGUACCUCAACCACUCCUACCGCCCCGCCGAGGCCUCCAUCGUCAACCGUGGCCAUGACAUCGCGGUGAUGUUCCGCGGCGACGCCGGGAGCCUGUGGAUUAAUGGCACCGCCUACCACCUCAAGCAGCUGCACUGGCACUCCCCCAGCGAGCACCGUGUGAACGGCCGUCGGUACAACCUGGAGCUUCACAUGGUUCACCUCAGCGCCGAAAACAAGGCUGCCGUGAUCGGCCGCCUCUAUAAGAUCGGCAGGCGCGACCAUUUCCUGCACGAGCUGGAGCCUUACCUGAAGAGGAUGGCAGACACCAAGGAGAAGGAGGAGAUGGUAGGCAUGGUGGAUCCCUGGGAGGCCAGGGGAGAUGGUGAAGCCUACUACCGGUACAUGGGCUCCCUCACCACGCCGGGGUGCGACGAGGGAGUCAUCUGGACCGUUAUCAAGAGGGUUGCUACUGUGUCGAGUCACCAAUUGAAGCUUCUCACCAACGUCGUCGAUGACCUAAUUAAGGCUUUCAGAUGA
RNAcentral lists this ribosomal RNA (573 nucleotides) under Triticum aestivum (bread wheat). RNAcentral's name for it is "partial small subunit ribosomal RNA". The record is from RNAcentral. Lineage: Eukaryota; Viridiplantae; Streptophyta; Magnoliopsida; Poales; Poaceae.